UGUAUGUGUGUGUGUGUGUGUGUGUGAGCGCAAGCAGGCACCCUCGUCAUGCCCAGCCUGCUGUGAGCCCUACAACGAUAACAGCCGCCUGCCUCUCACUGCCUCCUGCGGCCAUACCACCUGUACAGCCUGCCUCAGAGCCGCCACCCUCGCAGCACACCCUGACGCGCCGCCGGGCAGGGAGGGAACUGUGCCGUCUGGGAGAAAGGUUGAGUGUCAAGUGUGUGAGAAGAAGGUGUCCACGGAUCAGCUGGUUAUUAAUAGAGCAGUGUUGGCCAAGGUACCACUCACCCUGGAGGACCUCAUCAUCCCGGAGGACACGAAGAACGACCCUGGAACCACCAAACACGACCCUGGCAUGCUUGACACCACCACCUCUACAGACCACCACGUACACACCACCACCACCACACUAGAAACACCACAGCACCACACAGAGACACAACUAGGCUGGACACACCCUAAGAUGGACCCACACCACCACGACCACACCACCACGACCCACACCAUCACCCCCCCCAACAGCCCGGGGUGAUUGGAUGGGCCACGGCUCCUCAAUACCCUCAUGGAUAUCCAAGUCACUCACACCACCCCCCACCACCACAACCCAUGCCUUUACCUCCACAUGGCUACCCACACCAACACCACCCACACCCGCAACACCACGGGCACUCCUCCCACGUACCAGUAGUAGCAGGAGCAGCAGUAGCAGGCGCAGCAGUAGGGGUGGCAGGCAUGUCCCUUCACCACCACAA
This 755-nucleotide unclassified non-coding RNA is filed under the name Portunus trituberculatus (swimming crab). RNAcentral's name for it is "uncharacterized LOC123511645, transcript variant X2". Lineage: Eukaryota; Metazoa; Arthropoda; Malacostraca; Decapoda; Portunidae. The record is from RNAcentral.